RNAcentral lists this small nucleolar RNA (157 nucleotides) under Peromyscus maniculatus bairdii (prairie deer mouse). Lineage: Eukaryota; Metazoa; Chordata; Mammalia; Rodentia; Cricetidae. The record is from RNAcentral.
UUUGAAACUAAAAAUAUAGGUAAAAGCCAGUUUUGGAGUCAGAUUGGCCAGUGAGCAUCUGAGUGUCACCUAAGAGCUCCAUUAAUGCAGAAUUCUUGCUAACAUGACCAAACCUUACCUUUCCGGCUUGAGUUUGGAAGCAGUCACUGCCACCACU